This 101-nucleotide non-coding RNA is filed under the name Paenibacillus darwinianus. RNAcentral describes it as "Guanine sequence". It matches the Rfam family "Purine riboswitch aptamer". From Rfam's summary of the family: Riboswitches are metabolite binding domains within certain messenger RNAs that serve as precision sensors for their corresponding targets. Allosteric rearrangement of mRNA structure is mediated by ligand binding, and this results in modulation of gene expression. The record is from Rfam by way of RNAcentral. Lineage: Bacteria; Bacillati; Bacillota; Bacilli; Caryophanales; Paenibacillaceae.
AAAAAUAACAGCAUAUCUUUUCGUAUAAUCUCAAGAAUCGGCUUGAGAGUCUCUACGGGGUCACCGUAAAUGAUCCUUCUACGAAAGGCAGGAAAGCGUCC